This 294-nucleotide unclassified non-coding RNA is filed under the name plant metagenome. Its description in RNAcentral is "partial contains 5.8S ribosomal RNA, internal transcribed spacer 2, and large subunit ribosomal RNA". The stretch from base 1 to 105 matches the Rfam family "5.8S ribosomal RNA", at positions 50 to 154 of the family's 154-position model. The record is from RNAcentral.
GAAAUGCGAUAAGUAAUGUGAAUUGCAGAAUUCAGUGAAUCAUCGAAUCUUUGAACGCAUAUUGCGCCCUCUGGUAUUCCGGAGGGCACACCUGUUCGAGCGCCGUAGUACAACUAAGGCUUUGCCUUGCGUUGGUCGCGGUCCAAGCCUUUGGUACGGAUCGGGCCGAAACUCUUGUGGCGCCGCCCUGCGGCUGGCUAUGCGCGAAAGCAGAAGUCAGUGGCAAGAGGCAGCGGCCGGUUUACACAGCACGCUUGGCCUCGGAUCAGGUGGGGAUACCCGCUGAACUUAAGC